UUUUGGGAAGAAACCAAUUUCAGGUUUUCCAGAAAAAGGCAACGCUGCAUGCCUACUUCCGUUACCAACGUUGGUCGCCCGUUCAGUGUUGGCGGGAGGACGAAAUGGAAAACUUGUCUUUCUCGUGAAGACGAAGACAGAGAAGAGUCUUUGCAGUUACAACCUGUUUAGUGCUCGGGAAUUACUUUUAUUGUUAAUCAACGUACAACUAAGCCAAGUUAAAGGGCUUACUUGUUAUCAAGUUUUCUAAAUUUAAAAUGUUACUGACCCUCCAUGAAUGUAGCAGAAGGCUGACACUGCGAACUAGAAUGUGAAAUUAGGAAAAGACGCAUUCUAAUUUCCUUCACAGCCAUCACAUCUACAUCUUUAAGGUCGUUCAAACUGAAAAUUCGUCAGUGUGUAAAGUAGCCAUUUCUCAGCGUGGUCUUCAGUUCACGUCAUAUCCUGAUGAUGGUUUGAUACCAGACCCGAUUAUCGAUAGUCCUGCGUUGCUUCAGCUAUACAGCCCGCUUAAUAAAGGCGUUGAUAGGGAACAACCAAACCAGUCGAGAAAAUACAUAACGUAGCCUACCAUACGGCAUUUAUUCAGCAUCCUCUCUACUUGUGUGUUUCCUGUUCAUCCGAUAUACUUGUCCGCAUAGCCGGCCCAUUCUAUUUAGAAUAGCAGCGAUCUCGUCAUCG
Long non-coding RNA from Daphnia magna, 681 nucleotides. RefSeq lists it as uncharacterized. The record is from RefSeq and is a predicted model, not a curated record. NCBI's taxonomy places the organism in Eukaryota, Metazoa, Arthropoda, Branchiopoda, Diplostraca, Daphniidae. The transcript is spliced from 4 exons.